Salvelinus fontinalis (brook trout) is the source of this 388-nucleotide long non-coding RNA. RefSeq lists it as uncharacterized. The record is from RefSeq and is a predicted model, not a curated record. The transcript is spliced from 3 exons. NCBI's taxonomy places the organism in Eukaryota, Metazoa, Chordata, Actinopteri, Salmoniformes, Salmonidae.
GCUAGAGACCAUGUUGCGGAGCCUUCGGUGGGCAAGUGGUCAUUUGAUUGAUGAAGAGAUGGCCAGCAAUCUAAUUGCUGUUGCCGAGGAGUUCCUACAAGAGGCAAAUGACAUCCAACAACGGGAACCUUACGAAAAUGCCAAUGUCCUGUCAAGUGCCUUUGGAGGGGAGGCGGUAUCACAUCACCAAGGAGCAGCUUGAGUUCCUCAUAGAUUGUCAUAUGACCAUCAGACAAAUGGCAGAUGUUCUCAAUGUGUCGCACUCUGUGGUCAAGUUGCGCAUGAGUCAUUUUCAGCUUUUCAGGUCCUACUCACUGUUGUCAGAUGCUCAGCUGGAUGAGAGGAUCAAAGAGCUGAUAUCAAUGAAAACAGAAUGGCAUCACUAUAA